This is a long non-coding RNA of Manis pentadactyla (Chinese pangolin), 1867 nucleotides long. RefSeq lists it as uncharacterized. The record is from RefSeq and is a predicted model, not a curated record. NCBI's taxonomy places the organism in Eukaryota, Metazoa, Chordata, Mammalia, Pholidota, Manidae. The transcript is spliced from 3 exons.
ACGCCGCCCGCCCCGGCUCGGCCCCGCCCACCAGGAGGAACCAGCAGAGGCUCCCUCCCUGCGGAGCCCCGGCCCCCUUUUCCCGCGGAGGGGUCAGCAGGACCCUCUCCCCCCGGCCUGCUGCCCCCCGCGCCCCCAGCCUCCGCCCACCUGAGGCCUGAGGGACCCGUCCAGCGCCCGGACGGAGCACAGUAAAAGAAUGUCACCCACAAACGCGCGAAGUCCGCCCCUUCCUGACCCGGGACGUGCACUGAGGAGGAGAGGGAGACCAGCUGGCUGCCGAGCCGGACCACCAGCCCUGUGCCACCCUGGGGAUCUGGCUGGUGUUUCUGGCUACCGUUUGCGGUGCUCCAGGGCACACGUGCUCUAGAGGGCCUCGCACACCUGGCGGGAAACUGUCUCCUUUACAAAGAACCCUAAGGAGGAAGCAUUCAUACUAAAAGAAGGAAAAAUGGAUGGUUUGUUCUAACAUUCUGAAGAGGCCACAGUAAUGAGCUCUUUGUUAGUGAAAAGGAACCGCAUCUAAGGAAAUCAGUACAGUACAGGAUGGCGCAUUUUUCAGUAGGUCACCUGAAAGGUCACGGGAAGCUGUGUUUCUUGGACUUAAGGAAACUGUAUUUACUACCCAUACCGGUUUUCAGAAUCUGGAUGCCAAAAAUGGCAUCUUACGCACUGCUCAGAGGAAACAGUUAAGGUGAACGGAAGGAAGGGAGACACUCAAAAGCUGAACAAGAGGCUCACAGCUCAAAAGAAGAGGGCCAGCCGAGUUUCAGCUGUCGCAGCCCUAGACGGUCCCAUAUAAGGGCAGAGGCAGGGCGAGCAGCAAUCUUUCAGAAUUUGUUUAGAAUUAAACAAGCAAACAGAAAACCAGUGGAAGUCAGCCAGUCAGUCCAUCAGGUAUUCUCUGAAAUGAUGGGAGCGCCUGGGUGACUCACGACGGCUUUGCUGCCAGAGCGAGUUUGCGAUUUCUGAGUUGCCCACCCGGGAGAGCCUCCCUGGGAGAGGAUGCCUCGGCUCCCACACCUCGGAGCACCCAGGGAGACUCCUAAGACUGCGACCUACGUACGGAGCGUCAACUCCAAAAUCCUCCCAACCGAGUCCUUUCUGAAAAUAGCUCGGGGCUCCUCUUGAGCAAUACUUGUUUGUUUACUUGUUCUAAAGAGCAAGGCGAUGACACGGGACUGAUGGACUCCCAGCCAAUGGCUACCCAGACAGCCUGGAGGGUGGCCGGUGUCUUCCAACCAGAAAGAGGAGAGGCGGGACUGGCCGGGCAGGCCCCAGGGGCUGGGCAAGCUCUCCGCGUGACUUGCCUUCCAUGUUGAGUGUGGCAAAAAACACUCCUGUUCUGUACUGCAGGUUAACGCCUCACGCCUGCUUGGACGGGGGCUUAGAAAGAGCGACAGCAUCAUUUCCAGCCAUGUUACAUCAUAGUGCUGGGACGCUGUGUUCUAUUUUCAGCGGUUACACUAUUUCCCCGGCAAUUACGUCAUGUUAUGAAAAAACGAACAGGGUGGGAGUUAUCUAACUGACACUGCUUGGCUUUCUAGAAUGCUUGUUCGAUAGUUUAAAAGCACCAUGAGAUUCCUGGGGAAAACACUGAAUUUAAAGAUGUGUUCUUGCUUUUCUACUUUAUAUGGACUAUUUCAAGAACAGUGAUAUUUGUUAUUCACUUAAAAAUAAAUCAUACUAUGCUUACAUUAACUGGCUUAAAAUAAUGCAAUAACUGAAAUACUGAUUUACCACUGAAUAUUGUGGGGGCAUACGGAAUUUUUCAUACACCGAAACACACUUGUUUUCAAAAGUUACAUGAACUUCAUUGAUUUUAUUUGCAUAUGAAUAUAAAUUAAUAAAUUUUACAUGUAAUUUA